Molecule: long non-coding RNA, 1054 nt
Filed under: Sparus aurata (gilthead seabream)
Lineage: Eukaryota; Metazoa; Chordata; Actinopteri; Spariformes; Sparidae
Description: lncRNA (ENSSAUG00010009604.1)
Source: RNAcentral
AACUCAUCUUAUAACUGUCUUUGUUUACUAUCUAAUAAAGACCACAUUUCUAGUUGUUGUUUAAUUGGACACAAAUUAGGGUUUAUUGCGUCUUUAUUAGAUGACCUAUAACGGUGUAUGUGCACAGUCUAACAUAGACCUUAUUAUCUGUAGUUUUUGUCUAAUUUGACAAAACGUACAGUUUAUUACAUCUUAUAAGUGUUGUUUGCAAAUGAAACAAAACAGCAAAACAGUUCAAACUUUAUUAAACCUUUAUUACACAGCAGGUGACAUUUUCAUGGCGGCUGGUUUAAUGUAUAUGUGCCUCAGUCGCCAGUAAGAUCAUUCUUGCAGCCAAGGUCUUGUCAGAGAAGGAACCACGCUGCUUUACCGGACUUAUGGAUUUGGUUGUAAAACCACAGAUUCGUAGUCGGUAAUCUGGAUCUCGGUCAAGACGGUACACAAACGUUCCCUGCAGUGUACAGCUGCUCCCGGACGGCCGUCGGACGGUCGGUUUACAUAGUGGUUCGUAUUCUCUUCCUCCUCUCGCCGAGAAACGCCGGCACAUCAUUUUCUUGGAGGUUUCGGCGCACGGGAUUGUCAGGAGUUACAAUGAUAGCGUGUCUCCUUUAGAAAGUAAAGCACUGCCUGAGUCGGUGUGGCGAAGCGAGAUAGAGCGCACGAGUUUAGUGUUUCCGCGACAGUACCAGGGUUUCACUCUGCGGUCCGUACAUGUGGUCUGUGCGCUGCGUUGACGAAGUAAGGGACGUCGACGUCCUCCGAGAAUAGCGUACUUUUGUAGGAAGGUCUUCGCAUGCAUUUGCGAGGUGUAGAUUCUGGAUUCAAGCCAUUACCAAGACCGCCCUGUGGACACUGACCGUCAGAUACCAUACGUGCGCGUAACGCUAUGGAGGAACGUCCCCGUUUACCGUAACGCUGCUGCGUAAUGAUGCUUUUCGUGGAUAACGCGGAGGCUUGUAUGCCGCCGACGUGGAUAUUUUCAGAUAAGCUUCAGAGAUAUCAGAGCUCUUAGAACGUCACGGGAUAUUUUAUUGUACCGGUGCGAGGGGAGGGU